RNAcentral lists this ribosomal RNA (478 nucleotides) under uncultured bacterium. RNAcentral describes it as "partial 16S ribosomal RNA". It matches the Rfam family "Bacterial small subunit ribosomal RNA", at positions 28 to 523 of the family's 1533-position model. The record is from RNAcentral.
GACGAACGCUGGCGGCGUGCUUAACACAUGCAAGUCGAACGGUAAGGCCCUUCGGGGUACACGAGUGGCGAACGGGUGAGUAACACAUGGGUGAUCUGCCCUGCACCUCGGGAUAAGCCUGGGAAACUGGGUCUAAUACCGGAUAGGACUACUGGCUCCAUGGUUGGGGGGGGACAGCUUUUGCGGUGUGGGAUGGGCCCGCGGCCUAUCAGCUUGUUGGUGGGGUAAUGGCCUACCAAGGCGACGACGGGUAGCCGGCCUGAGAGGGUGACCGGUCACACUGGGACUGAGAUACGGCCCAGACUCCUACGGGAGGCAGCAGUGGGGAAUAUUGCACAAUGGGCGCAAGCCUGAUGCAGCGACGCCGCGUGAGGGAUGACGGCCUUCGGGUUGUAAACCUCUUUCAGCUAUGACGAAGCGCAAGUGACGGUAGUAGCAGAAGAAGGACCGGCCAACUACGUGCCAGCCGCCGCGGUAA